This 24-nucleotide non-coding RNA is filed under the name Arabidopsis thaliana (thale cress). The record is from RNAcentral. Lineage: Eukaryota; Viridiplantae; Streptophyta; Magnoliopsida; Brassicales; Brassicaceae.
AUUACACAGCCGCUGUUUUGGUAC